RNAcentral lists this long non-coding RNA (543 nucleotides) under Nicotiana benthamiana. RNAcentral describes it as "long non-coding RNA (NBEN_LNC002851)". The record is from RNAcentral. Lineage: Eukaryota; Viridiplantae; Streptophyta; Magnoliopsida; Solanales; Solanaceae.
CUUAUGAAGAAUGCAUGAAGCCUAAGCCAACUCCUGCUCCUUACUAUUACAAAUCUCCACCUCCUCCAUCACCAAUAUAUAUUUACAAGUCACCUCCUCCUCCAUCACCAAAAUACGUAUACAAGUCUCCGCCACCACCGUCACCAAAAUACGUGUACAAGUCACCUCCUCCUCCAUCACCAAAAUACGUAUAUAAGUCACCGCCUCCUCCAACACCAAUGUAUGUAUACAAAUCACCACCUCCACCAUCACCAAAAUACGUGUACAAGUCACCACCUCCCCCAUCACCAAAAUAUGUCUACAAGUCACCGCCUCCCCCAUCACCAAAAUACGUAUACAAGUCCCCGCCACCACCAUCACCAAAAUACGUGUACAAAUCACCACCUCCCCCAUCACCGAAAUACGUAUACAAGUCGCCACCUCCUCCAUCACCAAAAUACAUAUACAAGUCCCCACCACCACCACCACCUUACUAUUACAAGUUCCCUCCACCACCAUCACCAUCUCCCCCACCUCCUUACUAUUACAAGUCUCCUCCACCAC